This 465-nucleotide ribosomal RNA is filed under the name uncultured bacterium. RNAcentral's name for it is "bacterial SSU rRNA". It matches the Rfam family "Bacterial small subunit ribosomal RNA", at positions 39 to 485 of the family's 1533-position model. The record is from RNAcentral.
GGCCGCGGGAAUUCGAUUCAGGCCUAACACAUGCAAGUCGAGCGGAGAGAGGUAGCUUGCUACCGAUCUUAGCGGCGGACGGGUGAGUAAUGCUUAGGAAUCUGCCUAUUAGUGGGGGACAACAUUUCGAAAGGAAUGCUAAUACCGCAUACGUCCUACGGGAGAAAGCAGGGGAUCUUCGGACCUUGCGCUAAUAGAUGAGCCUAAGUCGGAUUAGCUAGUUGGUGGGGUAAAGGCCUACCAAGGCGACGAUCUGUAGCGGGUCUGAGAGGAUGAUCCGCCACACUGGGACUGAGACACGGCCCAGACUCCUACGGGAGGCAGCAGUGGGGAAUAUUGGACAAUGGGCGCAAGCCUGAUCCAGCCAUGCCGCGUGUGUGAAGAAGGCCUUAUGGUUGUAAAGCACAUUGAGCGAGGAGGAGGCUACUUUAGUUAAUACCUAGAGAUAGUGGACGUACUCGCAGA